AGCCUGGAGGGGUUUUAGGUAAAACCUGCCCAAUGCCGCAACUGGUGAAUGGCCGCAGUACCUUGACUGUGCUAAGGUAGCGUAAUCAGUUGGCUUUUAAGUGGAGUCGUGUAUGAAGGGAUUGAUGGGGCUAAGCUGUCUCUACUAAAUUUAUUCGAAAUUAUAAAUAAGGUGAAAAUACCUUUGUAAAGAUAAAGGACGAUAAGACCCUUGGAGUUUUUACUAAGCAGCCUUAUUGGCUCGUUGUUUUUGCUGGGGCGGCAUAGAGGGAUAUGUAACCCUCUGAAAAUUAAGCCGAGAGUGAUAAGUAUAAUUAAACUACCCGAGGGAUAACAGCAUUAUUCUCAAUAGAGUUUGUGACCUCGAUGUUGGACUAGGAAUUAAUUAGGCUAGCCGCUUAAAUUUAUUGUUCUGUUCGAACUAGUUUUCCU
Molecule: ribosomal RNA, 431 nt
Filed under: Oxynoe sp. 9 PK-2017
Lineage: Eukaryota; Metazoa; Mollusca; Gastropoda; Oxynoeidae
Description: partial large subunit ribosomal RNA
Rfam family: Bacterial large subunit ribosomal RNA
Source: RNAcentral